AAAGGAAUAGACGGGGGCCCGCACAAGCGGUGGAGCAUGUGGCUUAAUUCGACGCAACGCGAAGAACCUUACCUGGGCUCGAAAUGCAGGGAAAACCUCCUGAAAGGGGGGCUGCCGCAAGGCGUCCUGUAUAGGUGCUGCAUGGCUGUCGUCAGCUCGUGUCGUGAGAUGUUGGGUUAAGUCCCGCAACGAGCGCAACCCUCGUCCCUAGUUACCAGCACGUUAUGGUGGGUACUCUAGGGAGACUGCCUCGGGACAACGAGGAGGAAGGUGGGGAUGACGUCAAGUCCUCAUGGCCCUUACGUCCAGGGCUGCACACGUGCUACAAUGGCAUAGACAACGCGCUGCAAACCCGCGAGGGGGAGCCAAUCGCUUAAACUAUGCCCCAAUUCAGAUUGGAGUCUGCAACUCGACUCCAUGAAGCCGGAAUCGCUAGUAAUCACGGAUCAGCUACGCCGUGGUGAAUAAGUUCCCGGGCCUUGUACACACCGCCCGU
This 496-nucleotide ribosomal RNA is filed under the name uncultured bacterium. RNAcentral describes it as "bacterial SSU rRNA". It matches the Rfam family "Bacterial small subunit ribosomal RNA", at positions 903 to 1397 of the family's 1533-position model. The record is from RNAcentral.